RNAcentral lists this ribosomal RNA (301 nucleotides) under uncultured bacterium. Its description in RNAcentral is "partial 16S ribosomal RNA". It matches the Rfam family "Bacterial small subunit ribosomal RNA", at positions 509 to 807 of the family's 1533-position model. The record is from RNAcentral.
CAGUCGCCACGGUAAUACGAAGGGUGCAAGCGUUAAUCGGAAUUACUGGGCGUAAAGCGUGCGUAGGCGGUUUGUUAAGUCUGUUGUGAAAUCCCCGGGCUCAACCUGGGAAUGGCAAUGGAUACUGGCAAGCUAGAGUGUGUCAGAGGAUGGUGGAAUUCCCGGUGUAGCGGUGAAAUGCGUAGAGAUCGGGAGGAACAUCAGUGGCGAAGGCGGCCAUCUGGGACAACACUGACGCUGAGGCACGAAAGCGUGGGGAGCAAACAGGAUUAGAUACCCGUGUAGUCCCUGUCUCUUAUAC